Passer domesticus (house sparrow) is the source of this 2120-nucleotide long non-coding RNA. RefSeq lists it as uncharacterized. NCBI's taxonomy places the organism in Eukaryota, Metazoa, Chordata, Aves, Passeriformes, Passeridae. The record is from RefSeq and is a predicted model, not a curated record. The transcript has 2 exons.
GCGGUCCGGCUGCGACUCCAGAACCUGGGCAGCUGCUUCUCUGCCACCGUUCGUGUCCCAACUCCAGAAGGAUUUUGCGAGCUAAUUGCAACGCCCCGUUGUCAGAUCCAAGCUUUGCGAGGUCCUUAAGAGGCAUCGGUGUGAACUUGUUCAGCUCAGCGCCGGCUUUCCACAGAGUGUUUCACCGUCCAGGUGCUUUUGUGGCAUCAGUGGCAAACAAAUCACAUUCCUUUACUGGUCACGCCAGAGGUGGCUACCCAUGGGUAGCCAGCGCUUGGCCCGGCACUCACCUCCCUUCCCCUGCAGGCGAUCCAGCCGGCAGCGUGGCUCCAUAGAAUCACGGAAUUGUAGAAUGUUAUGGGCUUGGAAUGGACCUUAAAGAUCAUCUAGUCCCGACAUGCCCUGGCACAGGCAGGGAACACCUCCCUCUAGACCCGGCCAUUCAAGGCUUUAUCCAGCCUGGCUUUGAACACUGCUUCAUUCCAGUACAGCUCCUUUCCUAAAGCCAGGAAAUGAUGGAGUGAGACCAGGAGAGAAAGCUGAUGGAGAAACCUAAGUGGAGCCUGGCAGUUCUUUAAAAGUUGAUUAGCUAAGCUGAAAGGCCACUUCUUCACUCAUUCCAGGGAGGAAAGCAAGCGCUGGCAUGGAGCCCGUUGGCCAGAGCAAGGCAGUCACUAAAAAGCCACAUGGUGGAGAGAGGCCAAGUGGGGAACACUCCGUCUGCUCAGAAACAACAGAGUGUGGAGAGGUGGAAGAGGAAGCUGGGGCAGCCAGGCAAAAGGUUACCCAGGGUAACCAGUGCUAAAAGCUGGAUAAGCCAAGCAGCUGCUUUGAGCAUCCCCAGUGGAGGAGCUCCUCCAGUUUUCCCAUGAGAAACAAGAGGAUAAUGCAGUGGAAGCCUUUUGAGUUCACUUGCUGCAGGUCAUAUAGCAGCUGGAAGCCUGCCCUGGCCUCAGAGAGGAUCUGCAGUGCCCACAGGAAUCAUGGGGUGGGUGGCAACAAUGAUGCUGCUUUUGCUGUCUUUACCUGCACAUGGCACGGGAAAGAAGAAAAUUUGCUGCAAAUUUGAAGCCAGGGUCAGUUUUCCCUGCAGAGAUCUUUUGUUUCUAGAAGCACCAUCUUGAUUUAAAAAUGUAAUUUUGAUAGCAAGAGGUUGGGUGGUCUUGCAUGUAGAGGGCUGGAAAUUAAACUAUCAACCUGGUUUCAUUUCAACAACAGCUGUUGGGCAAGAGGGUGGGAGAAGAGAAGGACUCUCUCCCCAGAAGGACAUGAAUGUGCCACUUUAGAAAUGAGAAAGGAGAGUGCUCCUUUUGGAGCACAGAGGAGGGCUACUUCCCACGUGACCUUCACAAAAGCAAAGACACAAAAACUAGGUUAGCCCAACUAAAAGAUGUAUUGAUCCACUGCAGGGAUAGUCUGAAAAUAAAUGAGUACGAGCUUGGAAACUACUUUGAGAUGGGCACAAUUUAGCAGGAGGUCAUUAAGUAUUUCUGUUUCCCUGGGCCAGGAUCUGGAAGAAUUUUAUCCCCAGGUUUAGGACCUCUCAGCAGAGCCUCAUGGAUCAUGAGUAUCCCUGCAUACCUGUUCUCCAGCAGAAGUCAGGCAGUGGCCCUAGAGCCAAUACAUGAGCCCAGCUCUCAGAACUGCCUCUGCUGGCUUUGGGCAGCUCCUGAAUUCUACUUGGAGAUGAGUUUUACCUUCAUACAGCCACACUUUCUCUCAGCAUGGACUUUCCUCCCUGUCCUUUGUGUCCUUUGUCUGGCUUUACCAGCCAACACAGGAAGAUUUUCCCUACACAGAAUGAUGUCAUUCUCAGGCAUUUAGCAGAAACCUGGUGAAGGUUUCCUAGAACUCAGAGGGCCUGAAAAAUUCUUUUAUCCCUGCUUGUCUGCUAAUGAUAGGAGACAAAGAAACUGAAUCUGAGCCUUUGCAAUCUUGCAGUUUUAGUAAUUUGUAAAUUUAAUAAUUUAGGGCAGUGACUAUGGCUCCACACAAAGUUGAUUCGGCUCUCUUCUCCUCUCCAGGCACGGACAGAUACACAGGGCCACUCAAAAAGAAAGGUGUCAUUCUUGUGAGGGCUUUCCACAAUAUGGAACACAAUAAAGGUUGUGAACCUGGUU